Diceros bicornis (black rhinoceros) is the source of this 40-nucleotide non-coding RNA. NCBI's taxonomy places the organism in Eukaryota, Metazoa, Chordata, Mammalia, Perissodactyla, Rhinocerotidae. The record is from Rfam.
CCAUGGCGGUGGCUGGGGUCAGCCCCACGGCGGCGGCUGG